AAAGAUACGAGAAAGUCAAUUCUGGAAAGGAUCAAGAUUUAUCAAGAUUUAGAAGACGAAUGUAAUGCUAAUCCGUCUAGGGCCACUGUUAAGAGGAGUGUUCAAGAAAAACUGGAAGAUCCUGGAACUUUCACUCUACCAUGUUCCAUUGGUCAAUUGGUUUUCAGCAAUUGUCUAUGUGAUUUGGGAGCUUCAGUAAGCUUAAUGCCACUCUCCGUGGCAAGGAAGUUGGAAUUCACUCAGUACAAGCCUUGCGACAUGACUUUGAUCCUUGCUGAUAUGUCUUCAAGGAAACCCUUUGGCCUGCUACAAGAUCUGCCAGUAAAGAUUAAUGGAGUGGAAGUACCUACAGAUUUCGUUGUGCUUGAGAUGGAAGCAAAACCUAAGGAUCCUCUAAUCCUAGGGAGACCUUUCUUAGCCUCAGUGGGAGCGAUGAUAGAUGUCAAAGACGGGAGAAUAAGUCUCAACCUUGGGAAGCACAUCAAGCUGCAGUUUGACAACAACGAAACUUUGCAAAGGACAGCUGUAGAAGAAAAGAUCAGGGCUCAACCUCAACCUUCAAAUUCAAUCACCAGACCAAGCACAACCUCUACACCUGACUUGCGAGAUCUCAAAAAGAAAUUUGAUGAGCAAGAAUAAACCAUAGAGAAUCUAGCUCAGACAGUUGAGGAACUUAAGAGUAAAUUGGAUCAGAUGCAAGAGAAAGCUCAAUCAAAAUGCGGGAUUGAUACUAUCCCGAGAAAAAAGUUUACUUCAAGACGGUCUGAGGAGAUAAAUUAUCCACCAGAAGAGAAAGAGGCCUAUUUCGAGGAAAGAAGAAUUGAGUAUUCUUCUACGCAUCUCUCAAGAGAGGAUGCUGAAUAUGAUGAUGAGAUCAGAGAGGACUAUGCAGAUCCUCUCUAUCACCCAUUUUCUUCUUAAUGAGUGUGAGGAGUCAAGCUAGAGACUUUAAACAAGCUCACUUGGGAGGAAUUCCCAAGACUGUUUCUGUAAAUAAAACUUUUAUUUUCUUUUUAUUUUUGAUUUGUUUUUGGUUGUGUUUGUGAUUCUCAGGAACAGAGAAACAGCGUGGAGGUAGAGUAAAAAUUUAAAAAAUUUACUCUACAGAGCAACAAGGGAUCGAGUAUGUGAGAAAUUCAAGAAUUUGAAAAACUUUUGUUGCACUUAGAAGCCAUGAGGUCGAGUAAGUUGGUCGAGUAUUAGUGAUGAUUUUAAAAACCAAAAUUUUGAAAUUAUACUUAUACUCGACCAACAGAAGCUACAGAGACUUGGAGGGAGUUUAACAAGUUUACAGAGGAUUACAGAAGGUUCUAGUCAACAGGGAACAAUGCUUCAGGACAAACAGACCAAGUGCGUCCCACCUUCUCUCCUUUUUGUCCC
This 1380-nucleotide small RNA is filed under the name Arabidopsis thaliana (thale cress). RNAcentral's name for it is "ATSL275760". The record is from RNAcentral. Lineage: Eukaryota; Viridiplantae; Streptophyta; Magnoliopsida; Brassicales; Brassicaceae.